Molecule: ribosomal RNA, 434 nt
Filed under: uncultured bacterium
Lineage: Bacteria
Description: partial 16S ribosomal RNA
Rfam family: Bacterial small subunit ribosomal RNA
Source: RNAcentral
AGCGAACGCUGGCGGCAGGCCUAACACAUGCAAGUCGAACGAUCCUUUCGGGGUUAGUGGCGGAUGGGUGAGUAACACGUGGGAACGUGGCUUUAGGUUGGGAAUAACCCAGGGGAAUUUGUGCUAAUAUCGAAAGUGUAGCUCGGGGGACAGAUUUAUCUCAUUUAGAACGGGCGGCGUCUGAUUAGCUAGUUGGUUGAGGUAAUGGCGCAGUAAGGAGACGAUAAGUAGGUGGGCGGAGAGAAUGAUCACCCACUUGUGGACUGAGACGCAGCCCAAACUAUUACGCGAGGCAGGAGAGGCGAAUCUUGCGCAACGGGCGAAAUCCUGACGCACCCAUGCCUCGUGAAUGAUGAAGGUCUUAGGAUUGUAAAAUACUUUCACCGGGUACGAUAAUGACGGUACCCGGAGAAGAAGCCCCGGCUAACUUCGUG